Molecule: small RNA, 1283 nt
Filed under: Rattus norvegicus (Norway rat)
Lineage: Eukaryota; Metazoa; Chordata; Mammalia; Rodentia; Muridae
Description: uncharacterized LOC102555516
Source: RNAcentral
AAUGGUGUUGCUAUAAGGUUUGACCCUUUGAUAACUCUUGGUGGAUUAAGUGUCCCUAAUCAAGACAUCCAUUUUAGAUUACAUUCAAAGGAUCUUGUUUGUGUAUUAUUUUGAAUACUGUGAGACCUGGCUAUUCCCGGACAGUGGCUGAAAUGGCUUUCCAAGUAUGGGGCCUUCAGACUGCACCCUAGAUCUAAGACCUAGGAGCCUGCCUCAGUCUGAGAAGUUUCUCAAAAAAAAAAAAAGGAGGGGGCAUUACUUCCCAAUUAACUCAAUUAACUUCUUCUGGUGUUUAAGAAGCUACCAGGAAAUUAACCAAAUAAGGAGCCAUCUGUUUCCUGCUGAGCCCCCAACAGAGACACUUUCCAAUCAAGAAUGUACUGCAGCGAAUUCAAGAAGUACCAGUGUGGAACAUUAUAAGUGCCUCUGGGAGCAUCAACAGAAUAUUCAACAGAAUUUUCAUUUGUGAAUAUGGCUCGCACCAACAAAGGUACAGGGUCUCUCACUGAACCCAGGACAAGGCAGCCAUCUUCCAUCGAUGGGAUGGAGUUAACAAGCAGGUGUGUGUGUGACCACACCGGGUUUUCCCACGGGUGCUGAUGACUUGAACUCAGGGCCUUCAACUUGUCUAAAAGUAUCCUCCCACUUCUCGUGAUCUGUGGGAAAGAAUACAAAGUGUGAACAGAUAAGGAAAAUACACAAAGAAAUACAAAGUAGCAAGCCCAGCUCAGAAAAGUCCCAUGCUGCCAAAUGGUCAGGAAGGUUUAAUUUUGUCCAAAAAAAAAAAAAGUCUGAAAAGCUGUAACAAAGCCCAAAAGCCAAGGUGCCACAUGUAGGCUGCAGAUGUGAACAGCGGCAGAAACCGUCCUUUCUCUGGGUUGAUGUAAAAAGACAACCCAAGAGUCUCACCGAGGCACACGCAAAACCAGCCAGGAAUGACGCUUUGAAGCCAUCCUUUAAAUGAACUGUCUCGGUGUCCUACAGUUCAUCAAAGGUUUCCUGUCUCUGAAAGGUCAGCCUCAUAUCCCUUACCCUUUCUGAAUCUCAGUCUCCUUUCAGCUCUUCACUGACAAACGGCGAGCAGGGGCCUCUUCGUCCUAACAAUCUCGAUUGCACAGUUCACAGAUUCUUAAGAUAAAUCACUACGCGAAUAUCAUAUACAGUCUUUGGUCUGUCUCACGGGUCUAUGUUAAAAAAUAAAAAUAAAAACCAAUACUUUUGUAAUAGCGAGGGGGUGUUGAAACCCUGAUUAAAUAAAGUGAGGUUAAAAACUCGGGAAGACA